Molecule: long non-coding RNA, 897 nt
Organism: Pomacea canaliculata
Lineage: Eukaryota; Metazoa; Mollusca; Gastropoda; Architaenioglossa; Ampullariidae
Exons: 4
Source: RefSeq, a predicted model, not a curated record
AGUUAAGUGAAAAAAAUCGUCUGCCAUCGGUCCAGGGGAUCUACGUGUACAAAGUAUAAUGUCUUUGCCGAUUAUUCUAGAAUGUUCUGCACGGCAGUAAUGUAACAAGCGUCGCCGCCCUACACACAAUGCACCUGCGGACGCUGAAGGGGGUGGCGACGAUGACGCCAGGCCCGAAAACGCAGAAGCUGCGCCUGCAUUCAAUGCAGGCGGGGAUAAUGGCGGAGAAGUAAAUCCUGCACUUCUGACGAUAAAUCGUUGGCUCAGGCACGUCCCGCCCGAAGAGAUGGCGAGGAUGGAGCAUCACUUGCUGGAAGCGUCAGGGGAUGCUAUUUCAGUCUACAUCCCACAAUAAAGCCGUCGCCCUGCCUACAAUGCACCGGCAGACGCUGAAGCGGGUGGCGACGAUGACGCCAGGCCCGAAAACGCAGAAGCUGCGCCUGCGUUCGAUGAUCAGGUGAUAAUGAAGGGGAGAUAAAUCCUGCACUGUUGACAAUUAAUGGUUGGCUCAGGCACGUCCCGCCCGAAGAGAUGGCGAGGAUAGAACACAACUUGUUGCAGGCGUCGUGGAAUGCCAUUUCGGUGUACAUCCCAGAAUAAAGCGUGCUCCAGUCAUGUCAGACCGCCAUCUCAUCAAGGGGCAGGACGGGGCAACGUUUGUGUGGAGGAUGGAUCCACUUUCCACCAACAAGGCUGGAGGCUUUGUUUUUUGUUUUGUUUUUUUUAUUCACAUUCAUCUGCUUGCUAUGGUAUAAACAUUGCAGAAAGCUCCAUUUGAUCUUAGUGUGACAUUGAUAAUGUUGAUCCUGAGGACUAAUUUAAAAAAAUUAUAAGAGACCAUGAAGUUGCAUGUUUGAUAAAAGUGUUCAGAUCAAAAUACAACACCCAUCAUGCUUU